RNAcentral lists this non-coding RNA (101 nucleotides) under Rummeliibacillus stabekisii. Its description in RNAcentral is "SAM-I sequence". It matches the Rfam family "SAM riboswitch aptamer (S box leader)". From Rfam's summary of the family: The SAM riboswitch is found upstream of a number of genes which code for proteins involved in methionine or cysteine biosynthesis in Gram-positive bacteria. Lineage: Bacteria; Bacillati; Bacillota; Bacilli; Caryophanales; Caryophanaceae. The record is from Rfam by way of RNAcentral.
UUCUUAUCCAGAGAGGCGGAGGGACUGGCCCUGUGAAGCUUCGGCAACGGACAUAUGCACCGUGCCAAUUCCAGCAAGCGAUUAAGCUUGGAAGAUAAGAA